UUUUCAUUAUUUUAACGUUACUAUAAUAGGUAAUACAAAUUAUAUGUACUUCAUCAAUAAUUUCAAAAUAUUAUUAGACACCAGAAUGCUGUUAUUGUCGGAUAUCAGCAUAAAGCUGAUUUUUGAAAAUUUUUAAGUGUUAGGUUCUCUUACAUCCGGAUCGUGUUAGUAAACCAACCGGACUUGUAAAUUCAAUAUUACAAUUUCACUGCACCAGUACUAGAUAAUGGUUAGAAAACGUAUUCGUAUACCUAACACUCAGGAAAUGAAAUAAAUAUACCAAUGUAAAACCAUUUCAAGUGUUUAGAUCAAUGCAAUAAUAUAAUGAAAUACGAUUCACUGGAAAAAAAAAAAAACUUUUGUACGAAUAGUGAUGGCGUCUUGAAUAUGACUUGUGUAGUGAACUUGGUGUAUUGUAUAGACUGUGGUUAGAUAUUGCGGCGUCAGACCAACACAUCGGCGUGUGGUGUUGAGUGCAGCAUCCAAUUGAUGUUUUGAAUCGAUCGAACAUUCACACGGAUUUGUCUAGUGACUUAUACCGUAUAAUACCGUAUUGCGAGUGUUGCAAUUUUUUUUGCAUGAUUUGCAUGAAUUGAGUCUUAGUUAUAAUAUGAUAUUAUAUAAGAUUAUGUUUCCUUUA
Long non-coding RNA from Aphis gossypii (cotton aphid), 640 nucleotides. RefSeq lists it as uncharacterized. The record is from RefSeq and is a predicted model, not a curated record. NCBI's taxonomy places the organism in Eukaryota, Metazoa, Arthropoda, Insecta, Hemiptera, Aphididae. The transcript is spliced from 3 exons.